CUACCCUUGACAUGUCUAGAAGGCCGAAGAGAUUUGGCUGUGCUCGCAAGAGAACUGGAACACAGGUGCUGCAUGGCUGUCGUCAGCUCGUGUCGUGAGAUGUUGGGUUAAGUCCCGCAACGAGCGCAACCCUUGUCAUUAGUUGCUACGAAAGGGCACUCUAAUGAGACUGCCGGUGACAAACCGGAGGAAGGUGGGGAUGACGUCAAGUCCUCAUGGCCCUUAUGGGUAGGGCUUCACACGUCAUACAAUGGUCGGGACAGAGGGUAGCCAACCCGCGAGGGGGAGCCAAUCCCAGAAACCCGAUCGUAGUCCGGAUCGCAGUCUGCAACUCGACUGCGUGAAGUCGGAAUCGCUAGUAAUCGCGGAUCAGCAUGUCGCGGUGAAUACGUUCCC
This 396-nucleotide ribosomal RNA is filed under the name uncultured bacterium. RNAcentral's name for it is "bacterial SSU rRNA". It matches the Rfam family "Bacterial small subunit ribosomal RNA", at positions 975 to 1375 of the family's 1533-position model. The record is from RNAcentral.